RNAcentral lists this long non-coding RNA (399 nucleotides) under Erythranthe guttata (spotted monkey flower). RNAcentral describes it as "long non-coding RNA (EGUT_LNC001957)". The record is from RNAcentral. Lineage: Eukaryota; Viridiplantae; Streptophyta; Magnoliopsida; Lamiales; Phrymaceae.
CAUUACCUCAGAGGUGGCCGUAAUUUACCAAUAAAUUAUUUAUUAAACAUUUGUAGUCACAAAAGAAAGAAAAAAUCUAAUGUUCUCUAUACAUCAGAAGAUUUCUACCAAACUAGUAUUUAUAUUUGUAGAUAAUAUGACUCCCCAACUCUUUAGCAUCCUCCAAUUCCAAUCUCGUUCAAAUCGACGUACGAUUUUGAAUUCCCUGCAGUUAUUGCCCGAAAUCCCGCAGCCUGCACAAAUUUUCACGAUCGUCAAAAUUCACACGCAUACAAUGAUAUUUUAAUUUAUAUAUUAAAUCAACAAAGUUAAAACACAAUCAAGAAAGAUGGAAGUUGAAUAAUUCAUAAUGCACUCACUUCGCGCGGCGAAGAUCAGGUACUCGAUUUGUUCUUGAUU